RNAcentral lists this ribosomal RNA (526 nucleotides) under uncultured bacterium. Its description in RNAcentral is "partial 16S ribosomal RNA". It matches the Rfam family "Bacterial small subunit ribosomal RNA", at positions 355 to 871 of the family's 1533-position model. The record is from RNAcentral.
UGGGGAAUUUUGGACAAUGGGCGAAAGCCUGAUCCAGCAAUGCCGCGUGUGUGAAGAAGGCCUUCGGGUUGUAAAGCACUUUUGUCCGGAAAGAAAUCCUUGGCUCUAAUACAGUCGGGGGAUGACGGUACCGGAAGAAUAAGCACCGGCUAACUACGUGCCAGCAGCCGCGGUAAUACGUAGGGUGCAAGCGUUAAUCGGAAUUACUGGGCGUAAAGCGUGCGCAGGCGGUUUGCUAAGACCGAUGUGAAAUCCCCGGGCUCAACCUGGGAACUGCAUUGGUGACUGGCAGGCUAGAGUAUGGCAGAGGGGGGUAGAAUUCCACGUGUAGCAGUGAAAUGCGUAGAGAUGUGGAGGAAUACCGAUGGCGAAGGCAGCCCCCUGGGCCAAUACUGACGCUCAUGCACGAAAAGCGUGGGGAGCAAAACAGGAUUAGAUACCCUGGUAGUCCACGCCCUAAACGAUGUCAACUAGUUUGUUGGGGAUUCAUUUCCUUAGUAACGUAGCUAACGCGUGAAGUUGACCG